UAAUUGUCAGCUAAGUGGCGCACGGGUGAGUAAUGUAUAGAUAACCUGCCCUUAAGAAAGGAAUAACAGUUGGAAGCGACUGCUAAUGCCCUAUAUGCCUUUAAUACAUAAGUAUGCAAGGGAAACGCUUUAGUGCUUAAGGAUGGGUCUGUAUGGUAUCAGCUUGUUGGUGAGGUAAUGGCUCACCAAGGCUAUGACGCCUAACUGGUUUGAGAGGAUGAUCAGUCACACUGGAACUGAGACACGGUCCAGACUCCUACGGGAGGCAGCAGUGGGGAAUAUUGCACAAUGGACGAAAGUCUGAUGCAGCAACGCCGCGUGGAGGAUGACACAUUUCGGUGCGUAAACUCCUUUUAUAUAGGAAGAUAAUGACGGUACUAUAUGAAUAAGCACCGGCUAACUCCGUGCCAGCAGCCGCGGUAAUACGGAGGGUGCAAGCGUUACUCGGAAUCACUGGGCGUAAAGAGCGUGUAGGCGGGUAUAUAAGUCAGAAGUGAAAUCCAAUAGCUCAACUAUUGAACUGCUUUUGAAACUGUAUACCUAGAAUGUGGGAGAGGUAGAUGGAAUUUCUGGUGUAGGGGUAAAAUCCGUAGAGAUCAGAAGGAAUACCGAUUGCGAAGGCGAUCUACUGGAACAUUAUUGACGCUGAGACGCGAAAGCGUGGGGAGCAAACAGGAUUAGAUACCCUGGUAGUCCACGCCCUAAACGAUGUACACUAGUUGUUGUGAGGCUCGACCUUGCAGUAAUGCAGUUAACACAUUAAGUGUACCGCCUGGGGAGUACGGUCGCAAGAUUAAAAC
Molecule: ribosomal RNA, 800 nt
Filed under: uncultured bacterium
Lineage: Bacteria
Description: bacterial SSU rRNA
Rfam family: Bacterial small subunit ribosomal RNA
Source: RNAcentral